UACGGAGGAUGCAAGCGUUAUCCGGAAUGCUUGGGCGUAAAGCGUCCGCAGGUGGCUGUGUAAGUCUGCUGUCAAAGAGCAAAGCUCAACUUUGUAAAGGCAGUGGAAACUACACGGCUAGAGUGCGUUCGGGGCAGAGGGAAUUCCUGGUGUAGCGGUGAAAUGCGUAGAGAUCAGGAAGAACACCGGUGGCGAAGGCGCUCUGCUAGGCCGCAACUGACACUGAGGGACGAAAGCUAGGGGAGCGAAUGGG
Molecule: ribosomal RNA, 253 nt
Filed under: uncultured bacterium
Lineage: Bacteria
Description: partial 16S ribosomal RNA
Rfam family: Bacterial small subunit ribosomal RNA
Source: RNAcentral